This 350-nucleotide ribosomal RNA is filed under the name uncultured bacterium. Its description in RNAcentral is "bacterial SSU rRNA". It matches the Rfam family "Bacterial small subunit ribosomal RNA", at positions 355 to 697 of the family's 1533-position model. The record is from RNAcentral.
UAGGGAAUCUUGGUCAAUGGGCGCAAGCCUGAACCAGCGAUGCCGCGUGUGCGAAGAAGGCCCUAGGGUUGUAAAGCACUUUCAGUCGCGAAGAAAAGUUGUGGAUUAAUAAUCCGCAGCCUUGACGUUAUCGACAGAAGAAGUACCGGCUAACUCCGUGCCAGCAGCCGCGGUAAUACGGAGGGUACGAACGUUAAUCGGAAUUACUGGGCGUAAAGCGCGCGUAGGCGGUUUGAUAAGUGGGAUGUGAAAGCCCCGGGCUCAACCUGGGAACUGCAUUCCAAACUGUCAGGCUAGAGUGUGGUAGAGGGAGGUAGAAUUUCCUGUGUAGCGGUGAAAUGCGUAGAUAU